AUUUUAAUUUGGAUUUGAGGUCAUACACGACAAAUAAGUUGGCAAAAGAGUUUUAGACUUGUUGUUCCUAUUCGAAGUUCGUGGUAAAAGAAUCGCUGGCCUCAAGCUUGUUGUCGUCCAGUUCUCUGCCCCAAAAAAGGUAAUACUAGUCUUUGAUUCACGCCUCUUUUGUGCCUAAUGUAAGGACGAUUUGCUUUUGAUAGUUGUGUAGUGUUAGAUGUUGGUAUCCUGGGAGUGUCAUGACUUACUGUUGGUUGCCAAACUUUGAUACAAGUUUGUUUGUUGAUUCAACUGUUCUCUUGGUUUGUUUUGCUCGAAGCUUUCUAAUUCCGUAUGGCAUUGAGUUGGUUUCGUUCUAUUUUCUUCUUGUUAUUCUAACUAGUAUAAAUCAUGUGAGUUGCUUUUAAGACUAAGUUCCGUAAUCCACCUGAUGGUUGCUGCACCUCUAAAUUUCUUAUUUAAUAAUGUUGAUUACGUAUCCUUCGUUAUCGGGUAAUUCGAGUUAACUUGAAUCAAUAAAUUAGUCAUUUCCAAACCUCUGGAGCAUUUUUCUUUUUCUUUCUUGUGCUAAACUCGCCUUAUUUAAAUGAUCUAUUUAGCUAGUUAGUUUCUCAGUUGUAUGUCUUUAUCAUCUUCAUCCGUAAAUCAUGCUAAAAUUGAAUCUUGUCAUCCGUACUCAAGUUGGUUUUGAAUGUCUCUUUCUUCCGCUUCUCUCAAUUGCUUGGGAUUUAUUAUCUCAUUCGUGUAACAUGUCCUAUUUUAAUCGAAUUUAUGUCUCCAUUUAGUCUAAGUUUUAGUCGAAAAAUGCUUAAGUAAAAUGUAAUGGAUCAUUUUUUUUUCUCCGUUUCUUAUUAGUAAUUUUCUUAUCUUGUUGGCUCUGUUGUUUAAACUCAUAAAGAUUACGAUGUCGGUAAUUAGGAGGUCGUAGGAUUCACUUCAACAAUUAUCAAAGUAGUUUAUGUUUUGCUUCUGCUCUGUUUUGAUAGCUACUGGUUUAUCUUCUCCUUUCUUUAUAAUUGAUCUAUUGUUUAUUUGUUUUAAGUUCAUUAAGGUUGUGACCAUAAAGUGGAAAGUUGGCUAAAUAAAAAUGAUUUUACUAACAUUCCACCUGAUGCCUUCCAAGAUUAGUGUAAGUUUAGGAUUAUCCAAGUAUUGUGGCCGUAUUAAUUUUAUUUGCCUCUAGUUCGUCGUAGAAUCUAUUUUGAUUUAGUCAAAGUCGUGUUGUACCAUGGUUAGAAUGUUAACAUUAUAUUGAGUUUUUGAUCAUACUGUGAAUAACCUCUUUGCUAGCUUUAAAUGCUAUGAGAUUCUUAUUUUAGUUGAAUCAAUUUGGUAUCUGCAUUCCUCUUCUGCUAAUUCUUGUUCUUUUUUUUAUUAUUUAUGUUUUUUCUUGAUUGAAUCGUUGCGGUUGCGGUUGAGCUCACUGAACUCCCUACCUCCCUCCUUGCAUAUCGAGUUGGGCCACGGAGGCCCAAUCUUACUUCUUGUCGAGUUGAACUCAUCAUUUCGAGAAGUUGGAAGCUGAAACAGAUCUUGGAAAGUUCGAAAAGGGGUUGUAUACAAGAUAUAUACAGCUAUAUACAUCGAUAUAUAGGUCAAAAACGCAGGAAUACAGGGCUGAUGCAAAAUACAUGUAUUCGGAAGCAAGAAAUACAUGAAAAGAGCCUAUACACAUGCCGAUAUACACUGAUAUACAUGAGCUGUAUACCAAAAACGGGUUUUGUUUAAACCCCAAAAAAGAGUAGCGAAUUUGGCCCAAGAAAGGCCCAAAUUCAAUUUCUCCCUUACGCUUUAAUUAUUUAAUUGCGAUUACUUAUUAUUUGUUGUUUAACUCUAACUUUAGAAUUUUUGAUUAACUUAGUUGAAUUCCCCAAAAGACGAACUAUUCAUCUGAGUUGUUUUGUUUCUAACAAAA
Molecule: long non-coding RNA, 1915 nt
Organism: Solanum tuberosum (potato)
Lineage: Eukaryota; Viridiplantae; Streptophyta; Magnoliopsida; Solanales; Solanaceae
Exons: 2
Source: RefSeq, a predicted model, not a curated record